This 399-nucleotide ribosomal RNA is filed under the name uncultured Planctomycetota bacterium. RNAcentral's name for it is "bacterial SSU rRNA". It matches the Rfam family "Bacterial small subunit ribosomal RNA", at positions 90 to 476 of the family's 1533-position model. The record is from RNAcentral. Lineage: Bacteria; Pseudomonadati; Planctomycetota.
GUUUAGUGGCGAACGGGUGCUUAACACGUGGGCAACCUGCCAGGAAGUGGGGGAUAGCUCGCCGAAAGGCGAAUUAAUACCGCAUGUGAUUAGAGAGGACAUCCUUUCGAAAUUAAAGUCGGGGCAACCUGACGCUUCUUGUGGGGCCCGCGGCCUAUCAGCUAGUUGGUGAGGUAACGGCCCACCAAGGCUUUGACGGGUAGCUGGUCUGAGAGGACGACCAGCCACACUGGGACUGAGACACGGCCCAGACACCUACGGGUGGCAGCAGUCGAGAAUUUUUGACAAUGGGGGAAACCCUGAUCGAGCGACGCCGCGUGGAGGAUGAAGGUCUUCGGAUUGUAAACUCCUGUCAUUGGGGAACAAUGUCCCGCUUUUAACUGAGGCGGGAUUGAUAGU